UGGGGAAUAUUGGACAAUGGGCGCAAGCCUGAUCCAGCCAUGCCGCGUGAGUGAUUAAGGCCCUAGGGUUGUAAAGCUCUUUCACCGGUGAUGAUAAUGACGGUAACCGGAGAAGAAGCCCCGGCUAACUUCGUGCCAGCAGCCGCGGUAAUACGAAGGGGGCUAGCGUUGUUCGGAUUUACUGGGCGUAAAGCGCACGUAGGCGGACUUUUAAGUCAGGGGUGAAAUCCCGGGGCUCAACCCCGGAACUGCCUUUGAUACUGGAAGUCUUGAGUAUGGUAGAGGUGAGUGGAAUUCCGAGUGUAGAGGUGAAAUUCGUAGAUAUUCGGAGGAACACCAGUGGCGAAGGCGGCUCACUGGACCAUUACUGACGCUGAGGUGCGAAAGCGUGGGGAGCAAACAGG
RNAcentral lists this ribosomal RNA (404 nucleotides) under Actinomycetes bacterium. Its description in RNAcentral is "Actinobacteria bacterium partial 16S ribosomal RNA". It matches the Rfam family "Bacterial small subunit ribosomal RNA", at positions 355 to 776 of the family's 1533-position model. The record is from RNAcentral. Lineage: Bacteria; Bacillati; Actinomycetota; Actinomycetes.